Gavialis gangeticus (Gharial) is the source of this 465-nucleotide long non-coding RNA. RefSeq lists it as uncharacterized. The transcript has 5 exons. Lineage: Eukaryota; Metazoa; Chordata; Crocodylia; Gavialidae. The record is from RefSeq and is a predicted model, not a curated record.
ACCAGUAGUUCAUAGUCCCAUCCGGGUUCCUUCCAGAUGGCAGUUGUUUUAUAACAAGCCACGUAAUAUCAAUGUUUUCACAAAUGGAGAAAUUCUCGUCCCACCUGCAAAAUUUCUCAUACCCAGAUUCACUUUGAGAAACUGGGAUAGUGUCCUUGCGCUAUUGAAUGAAAAAAUUUUUCCUCGUUCAGGAGGUGUUCAAAGUUUAUACACCCUGGAUGGUCUUGCUGUGUAUGGCUCAGAUAAGCUAGAAGAUAAUCAUUAUUACGUUGCAGGAGGCAAAGAAAAGUUUAAACAUCUGCCGUAUUGGUGUUCUCCUAGAGUUCCUCCAGAGGUUCGGCGCUUAUAUGGUGGUUCCCAAUCUUCAAGAAAACCCAGGAAGAAAAAAUCAAGAUCAUUUCACUGCCCCAGCAAAAAAGUUACUUAUGAAGAAUACCAGGCUGGUGACCUUCCAGGAUGCCCUGU